Molecule: ribosomal RNA, 396 nt
Filed under: uncultured bacterium
Lineage: Bacteria
Description: partial 16S ribosomal RNA
Rfam family: Bacterial small subunit ribosomal RNA
Source: RNAcentral
AUACGUAGGUGGCAAGCGUUGUCCGGAAUUAUUGGGCGUAAAGCGCAUGUAGGCGGUAAUUUAAGUCUGUCGUGAAACUGCGGGGCUCAGCCCCGUAUGGCGAUGGAAACUGGGUUACUUGAGUGCAGGAGAGGAAAGGGGAACUCCCCGUGUAGCGGUGAAAUGCGUAGAUAUUGGGAAGAACACCGGUGGCGAAGGCGCCUUUCUGGACUGUGUCUGGCGCUGAGAUGCGAAAGCCAGGGUAGCGAACGGGAUUAGAUACCCCGGUAGUCCUGGCCGUAAACGAUGGGUACUAGGUGUGGGAGGUAUCGACCCCUUCCGUGCCGGAGUUAACGCAAUAAGUACCCCGCCUGGGGAGUACGGCCGCAAGGCUUAAACUCAAAGGAAUUGACGGGG